AUUCAACAAUAACACAGGUUGGAGUAGAGGCCUGCCAAGUGGGUAGGUCACCAACUGAGGCAGGCAUAGGACCAGGAGUGGUUCAUGCCAAGAGUGAAGCCUUCCUUAUCUGGAGUGGGACUCACAGCUCCUGAUCCCAGUCAGGAAUCCCUACCUUUUACCAGAACAGAGGCUGGGCAAUCCUAUGCAGGAAGCUAGCAACCCUGUGAGAAAGCAGUUCUUAUUUUGUAUAUGAGGAAACUUGGACUCAAAGAGCAUAAAGGAUUUUGCCAAUGUCACAAGUGAGGAAGGAGUACAGGUUAUAUUUGAACCCUGAUCUUCUGAUGACAAAUCUAGAAUUCAAUCCACUCGACCAGGCUGCCUUAUUUGUGUAUGUCUUAUAGUUUACCUGCUGUUACUCCCUCCAAGCUUGACCUGGUGAACAAGAAGCAUUUCUUUGUCAGAUGAAGGCAAAAUGUUAUUGUUGGAUCCUUCCUUAAGCAGAAACCUUGCAACUGACCCAUGAGUUUGUGUUCCUUACAACUUCCCCCCACAGGGGGCUGCCUGGAAUUCCUAGUGAUUGUGUUCAAGAAAGUCAUAAAGACAAAUAAUGUUGGAAUUAAAAACAACAAAAAUACACUGGGGAGCCUAUAGGAGCAACUAUAGACUCCUAGACAGCAUGGUGCUCAAUGCAGCAAAAGGAUUUUCCCACCAAUGCAAG
Molecule: long non-coding RNA, 700 nt
Organism: Sarcophilus harrisii (Tasmanian devil)
Lineage: Eukaryota; Metazoa; Chordata; Mammalia; Dasyuromorphia; Dasyuridae
Source: Ensembl